Molecule: ribosomal RNA, 253 nt
Filed under: uncultured prokaryote
Description: partial 16S ribosomal RNA
Rfam family: Bacterial small subunit ribosomal RNA
Source: RNAcentral
UACGGAGGGAGCAAGCGUUACUCGGAAUUAUUGGGCGUAAAGGGCGCGUAGGCGGUUUGAAAAGUCUUGUGUGAAAGCCGCGGGCUUAACUCGGGAAGUGCACAAGAAACUGUUGAAUUUGAGUUCCGGAGAGGAAGGCAGAAUUCCCGGUGUAGCGGUGAAAUGCGUAGAUAUCGGGAGGAAUACCAGUGGCGAAGGCGGCGUUCUGGACUGCUACUGACACUGAGGGGCGAAAGCCAGGGGAGCGAACGGG